This 1246-nucleotide ribosomal RNA is filed under the name Arthrobacter sp. RNAcentral's name for it is "bacterial SSU rRNA". It matches the Rfam family "Bacterial small subunit ribosomal RNA", at positions 29 to 1271 of the family's 1533-position model. Lineage: Bacteria; Bacillati; Actinomycetota; Actinomycetes; Micrococcales; Micrococcaceae. The record is from RNAcentral.
GGGCCCGUUGGGGCCUGCUUACACAUGCAAGUCGAACGAUGAACCCUCACUUGUGGGGGGGAUUAGUGGCGAACGCGGUGAGUAACACGUGAGUAACCUGCCCUUAACUCUGGGAUAAGCCUGGGAAACUGGGUCUAAUACUGGAUAUUGACUUUACCUCGCAUGGGGUUUGGUUGAAAGCUUUUGUGGUUUUGGAUGGACUCGCGGCCUAUCAGCUUGUUGGUGAGGUAAUGGCUCACCAAGGCGACGACGGGUAGCCGGCCUGAGAGGGUGACCGGCCACACUGGGACUGAGACACGGCCCAGACUCCUACGGGAGGCAGCAGUGGGGAAUAUUGCACAAUGGGCGAAAGCCUGAUGCAGCGACGCCGCGUGAGGGAUGACGGCCUUCGGGUUGUAAACCUCUUUCAGUAGGGAACAAGGCUACACGUUGUGUGGUUGAGGGUACCUGCAGAAGAAGCGCCGGCUAACUACGUGCCAGCAGCCGCGGUAAUACGUAGGGCGCAAGCGUUAUCCGGAAUUAUUGGGCGUAAAGAGCUCGUAGGCGGUUUGUCGCGUCUGCCGUGAAAGUCCGGGGCUCAACCCCGGAUCUGCGGUGGGUACGGGCAGACUAGAGUGAUGUAGGGGAGACUGGAAUUCCUGGUGUAGCGGUGAAAUGCGCAGAUAUCAGGAGGAACACCGAUGGCGAAGGCAGGUCUCUGGGCAUUAACUGACGCUGAGGAGCGAAAGCAUGGGGAGCGAACAGGAUUAGAUACCCUGGUAGUCCAUGCCGUAAACGUUGGGCACUAGGUGUGGGGGACAUUCCACGUUUUCCGCGCCGUAGCUAACGCAUUAAGUGCCCCGCCUGGGGAGUACGGCCGCAAGGCUAAACUCAAAGGAAUUGACGGGGGCCCGCACAAGCGGCGGAGCAUGCGGAUUAAUUCGAUGCACGCGAAGAACCUUACCAAGGCUUGACAUAAACUGGAAACACUCAGAGAUGAGUGCCCCGCUUGCGGUCGGUUUACAGUGGUGCAUGGUUGUCGUCAGCCUCGUGUCGUGAGACUGUUGGGUUAAGUCCCGCAACGAGCGCAAUCCUUCGUUCUAUGUUGCAGCCAGCGUAUGGGUGGGGACUCAUAGGAAACUGCCCGGGGUCACUCGGAGUAUGCGAGGACGACGUCGAAUCAUCAUGUCCAUAUGUACUCUUGGUCCCUCACGCAUGUCUACAUAGCGGAUACAUGCGGGAUGGCGUAUACUCUGUUAAGACAUGA